Scleropages formosus (Asian bonytongue) is the source of this 705-nucleotide long non-coding RNA. RefSeq lists it as uncharacterized. NCBI's taxonomy places the organism in Eukaryota, Metazoa, Chordata, Actinopteri, Osteoglossiformes, Osteoglossidae. The record is from RefSeq and is a predicted model, not a curated record. The transcript is spliced from 3 exons.
UCAACAGGCGUUUGCGUCCGAUCUCCGAACACGUACAGGGAGGGACAGUCAACGGUGGGAACACAGCUUCGAUGAGCGCCACAAUGGCAGCCCUGCAGUAGAUGGCAGUUCAGCAAACACAAAGGAUGCACCAUGAAUUCAGUGGAAUUCAUUAAGAGUAAUAAAAAAAAAAAAAAAAACCUUGGGGUAUCUCCCCCCUCAUGCAGCGGAGUCCGCCGAUGUGCGGUCUGAUAGUGUCUGUGCGGCAGGGCUCCACCAGCACCGCGCUCUGGACUGCGCCUGACCCACGGUCUCCGAGUGACGUCAGCCGGGACCCCAUGGGGACGCGGUGAGUCAGACCCGGCCCGGCCGCCUGUGCACCGUGGCAGCCAUUAGGCCGUCAUUGGUAAUCCCAGCAACACCUUCUCACACUCUUUGGCAUUUGUUUCAAUGUGCUUCUGUGAAGGCUGCUUUAUUUACGAGAGCUGUCACUCCCUGUUCUCUUUGCUGUGGAGGGGAAUGUGCAUUUUCUUCCUUGUUUUUCAAGGCUCUUUCAAUUUUGUUACAGGCUGCAAGGACGGGGGAACAGCACUGGGUGAAGAAAGCCAAUCAACUCCUGGUGGCAUGACGUUAUGUGGAUGGUCUCUUAUACCAGGAAAAGCAUAGCUGGCUUAUUCACAAUGAAACACUUUUGUCUAGUUUGUUUUUAGCUAGUGAAACUACCAG